AGUCUUAGAAGUGCUGUAAUCUGAAAGAAAAAAAUGAAACUUUCCACUUGAUCACUCUGGUAUAUUAUUAUUUUUAAAAAGAUGGAAGUUGUCAUAUGAAAAUGGAGGCAUUAAUUCCUUAACCUAUUCCAAAACUUUAGCUCAUAUUGGCCAAGAAAACAGAAUGCGAAUGGGAAGCCGUGUUUCUGCUUGAGGCAGUAGGAAGCAGAAGGAGACCAAAAAGUCGUCUUAAUGUUAAGCAAAACUUUGAAUCAGCAUUUAAAUUAGAUAUGCUUUAACGGCUGAUGUUAUUUGAAAGCUGAAUAGCCAAUGUCAAAAAUAGAUUUCCCUUUCUUUCCAAAGUGCAGACGGGGUCCAGAAAGGGGCAGAAAUAACCACAUGCCUUUCUUGGACUCAUGACUCUUACCACCCAAAGGGUUUUCUUGUGUAGCAACCAACAAUUCCUUGGAUGGAAACACUGGAUAGGCUAGUCAUUAUUUUGAGAUUGAAGGGACUGCAGAUUCUUGGCAGACCUCUGUUGUUUUUCUAGAGUUGUAGGCAAGUAGUUGGACAAAAAGCAAGAAGCUGAUCGAUGUUGCUGGCUUUGGAUUCUUUGUGAACAAAUGAGACAAGCCCCUUUUGUCUAAAAUAGUGAUGUACAUUCAAUGCAAAGGGCAAAUGGAACCAUUGAAAAGUACUUUUUGCAUCCAAAACAGCCAACGCUUUGGUGCCUGCUAUGUGUCAGACACUGAUUCUUCUGUCAUCCUUAUUCUACUGAUGAGGCAACUGAGGCAGCUUCAGAGAGUUCGAGUAACCUGCAGAUCACACAACUAGGAAGUAAGAGAGCUGGAACUUGACGUUGGGCUGUUGACCUCCAGAAAUGGUGUUUUUUCCAGUACUCAGUGCUGCCUCUGACUCCAUUGUGAUGGUUGAUUUUAUGUGUCAACUUGACUGGGCCCAGGGGUACCCAGAUAUUUGGUCAAACAUUAUUCUGGGUGUUUCUGUGAGGGUGUUUUGGGUGAGAUUAACAUUUAAAUUGGUAGACUGAGUAAAGCAGAUGGCCCUCUAUGAUAUGGCCAGGCCUCAUCCAAUCCAUUGAAAGCCUGAAUGGAACAAAAAGGCCAACCCUCCCUCAGUAGGAGGAAAUUUCGUCUGCUUGACUGCAUUCAAACUAGGACGUCAACUUUUUCCUGCCUUUGGACUUGAAUAGAAACAUCAGCUCUUCCUAGGUCUUCAACCUGCCAGGCUUCAGAUUGAAGUUUAUACCAUCAGCUCUCUUGGUUCUUAGGCCUUUGGACCCAGACUGUAAGUGCACCAUCCGUUCUCUUGGGUCUCGCUUGCUGACUCACCCUGCAGAUUUGGGGACUUAUCAGCCUCUGUAAUUCUGUGAGCCAAUUCCUUCUAAUAGAUCUCUCUAUACGCAUCCUGUCUCACUGGAAGAACCCUGAUACGGUUAGGCUUUGUGUCCUCAUUCAAAUCUCAUCUUGAAUUGUAAAUCCCAUAAUCCCCAUAAUCCCCAUGUGUCAGGGGAGGGAUCAGGUGGAGGUAAUUGCAUCAUGGGAGCAGUUUCCCCUGUGCUCUUCUCACGAUAGUGAAAGAGUUCUCACAAGAUCUGAUGGUUUUAUAAGGUGCUCUUCCCCCUUUGCUCUGCACUUCUCCUUCCUGCUGCCUUGUGGCCUUGUGAAGAAGGUGUCUUGCUUCCCCUUUGCCCUCCUCCAUGAUUGUAAGUUUCCUGAGGCCUCCCCAGUCAUGCAGAACUGUGAGUCAAUUAAACCUCUGUCCUUUAUAAAUUACCCAGUCUCAGACGGUUCUUUAUACCAGUGUGAGAAUGGACUAAUACAAACCCUAAUACAUCAAUUUCUUUUUUGAUCUACCAGGCAAUCCUGUGAAGUAGAUGGGUCAGGUAAUAUCAUUGCUAUUUGACAGAUGAGGGAGAACAAGACCUAGCAAAUGAACACGCAUGUGUUACAUGCUCACAUAGUCACACACAUGCUCGCAUGCGUGCCGUGCACGAGCGCGCACACACACACACACACAUACAGACCACACAUUUCAGGACGAAGGUCAGAAUCCAGGUCUAAUCAUUUAAGUAAGUGCUUCUUCCCCAGGGUGU
RNAcentral lists this long non-coding RNA (2092 nucleotides) under Pan troglodytes (chimpanzee). Its description in RNAcentral is "lincRNA". The record is from RNAcentral. Lineage: Eukaryota; Metazoa; Chordata; Mammalia; Primates; Hominidae.